RNAcentral lists this ribosomal RNA (265 nucleotides) under uncultured bacterium. RNAcentral's name for it is "partial 16S ribosomal RNA". It matches the Rfam family "Bacterial small subunit ribosomal RNA", at positions 793 to 1055 of the family's 1533-position model. The record is from RNAcentral.
GUCCACGCCGUAAACGAUGUCAACUAGCCGUUGGAGACCUUAGAGUCUUUAGUGGCGCAGCUAACGCACUAAGUUGACCGCCUGGGGAGUACGGCCGCAAGGUUAAAACUCAAAUGAAUUGACGGGGGCCCCGCACAAGCGGUGGAGCAUGUGGUUUAAUUCGAUGCAACGCGAAGAACCUUACCGCCCCUUGACAUCCUGGGAACUCGCUAGAGAUAGCUUGGUGCCGAAAGGAACCCAGAGACAGGUGCUGCAUGGCUGUCGU